GAGAGCAUCUGGGCAUUGCACCGACCGCCAAAAAACGCAGUUUAGACAGCCGGCACCAAGCCACCCGGAAGGAAGCGGCAAAGCACCAAUCACAAGCGAGGUCACGAAUGCCAAAGGCCGUCAUUUCCUCCAUCGGCUGGCCAUGGGGGAGCACGUAUCUGACGGUCGCUGGCUGCAAUCACCACACCCAACCGUGCUCGCUCGGUCUUGUCGCAUCUGCAUCGAGGGAGAGUACGACUAUGCACAUGUAUCUCAAGACCCUCACCAAGAUGGCUCUGUGGCCGCCGACACAAUCUCUGACACAACUUACCACAGCCCCUGAUAUUUUCUUCUUUAUGGAGCAUUGUGAAAGCUGGCCAUGGCGGCACACACGUUUCUUGUGCACGGCAUCACCAACUUGCUGGUUCUGUCUGGUCAAAUCUUCGUCGCUGGUCAGGGACAGCUACCUGCUGACCCGAUGUCACACAACCACGGCCCUCUCCCCCCUGGCUCCCACUCCCAAGGAAACAGUUCUUUGUCUCAUCUUUUUUUAUCUUUAAAAUCUCUUCUUUUUUUCUAAACACGUAACCUUACAGUUAAUAACGUUGUCGGCACUUGUCUUUCGUGUUACUAGUAGAUUGAAUCCAUGGUGACAGUACUUUUUCUAGUGUCCUAAACUAGGAGAAAAUCACAUAUUAACAUAUUAUUUAUAAAUUUCCAUUAAGUUCAAUUUGUAGUUUAUUUCUAUGAUAUCUGGACAUUAAUUUUUGCAUUGAAUUAUGGUUUAUCUUUCUUCCUUUGGCUGUCAAUUAGUUGUGUUCAUUGUGUUGGACAUUGUUGCAGACCCAGACUAACAUGGUGGUACGGCCACCAACAUGACCUUUCCACACAUCGUCUGGACCCAGCCUCCGGACACAGCAUCUGGACAAACCCACCUGACACAUCCUCCAGACACAGCCUCCUGACACAGCCUCCUCACAGCCCCUUGAUAUUUACUUCUAGAUGGAAGAUGGUGUAAGUGUCCCGGAACUGGCCGGUUAACCUUAUAGUACGUAGGAGGGAAGAAGUACCCCCGAUUGUAUGUAGGAGGAAGUAUCAACCUCCAACAUCACGUAAGGAGAGAAGUAUCUCCGUUUCCGUGUGCACAUCAUAGGAUGAACACAGCCGUGGCAUCCAAGUAAACAGGCACCCUUAACUCCGUGGUGACAACAUCGCCUAGGUGGAAAGAUCACCAUUCGAUAUUACGAGGAAGAAUUCUAGUGUGAACUGCUCAGUAACAUCAGAGAUUCCAAAGUUCUGUAUACAACUGUGUGACAGUGACAGUGGAGUGGCUUUGUAUCUUUCUUUUUUCUUUUUUUUUUUUUUUUUUUUGGGGGGGGGGGGGGGGGGGUUGUGUUGUUGUAUAUAUGUACACCCACAAAGUUAUUACUGUGUAUUAGUUGUGUUAUUCUUAGAACAUUUGUAUUAGUGUUAGUAUUGUUAAAAGUAGACUAUUAGUAUUAGGAUAGUGUAUCGUGAUAGUUGUAUUGUUAGUAGUAGACAUUGGUACUGUUAGUAGUAAGAUAUUAGUAUUAGUAGUAGAUGGUAGUAUUGUUAGUUGUAGGAGAAGCUAGUUUAGUUAGUUGUGUUAGUUAAUUUGGUAUUAGUUUGUAUUUAAAUAUUGUUAUUGGGUUUUAAAAUUAAUUAAGGGAGGGAAUAAAUCUGUAUUACAACUUCCUUUGUGUUUGUGGUUGAUUCAAUACGUGACAGCCAGAUGUAGCUGAAGA
RNAcentral lists this unclassified non-coding RNA (1745 nucleotides) under Haliotis rufescens (red abalone). RNAcentral describes it as "uncharacterized LOC124124491, transcript variant X4". The record is from RNAcentral. Lineage: Eukaryota; Metazoa; Mollusca; Gastropoda; Lepetellida; Haliotidae.